RNAcentral lists this ribosomal RNA (253 nucleotides) under uncultured bacterium. RNAcentral describes it as "partial 16S ribosomal RNA". It matches the Rfam family "Bacterial small subunit ribosomal RNA", at positions 524 to 776 of the family's 1533-position model. The record is from RNAcentral.
UACGUAGGUGGCAAGCGUUGUCCGGAAUUAUUGGGCGUAAAGCGCGCGCAGGCGGUCCCUUAAGUCUGAUGUGAAAGCCCACGGCUCAACCGUGGAGGGUCAUUGGAAACUGGGGGACUUGAGUACAGAAGAGGAAAGCGGAAUUCCACGUGUAGCGGUGAAAUGCGUAGAUAUCGAGAGGAACACCUGCGGCGAAGGCGGGUUGCUGGGCUGAUACUGACGCUGAGGAGCGAAAGCGUGGGGAGCGAACAGG